This 253-nucleotide ribosomal RNA is filed under the name uncultured bacterium. RNAcentral's name for it is "partial 16S ribosomal RNA". It matches the Rfam family "Bacterial small subunit ribosomal RNA", at positions 524 to 776 of the family's 1533-position model. The record is from RNAcentral.
UACAGAGGUGGCAAGCGUUGUUCGGAUUUAUUGGGCGUAAAGGGUCCGUAGGCGGUCCGUAAAGUCUGAUGUGAAAGCCCACAGCUCAACUGUGGAACUGCAUUGGAAACUCACGGACUAGAGUAUGAGAGGGGUAAAGGGAAUUCCCGGUGUAAGGGUGAAAUCUGCAGAGAUCGGGAGGAACACCAGUCGCGAAGGCGCUUUACUGGCUCAUUACUGACGCUCAGGGACGAAAGCUAGGGGAGCAAACGGG